Molecule: non-coding RNA, 122 nt
Organism: Pteropus alecto (black flying fox)
Lineage: Eukaryota; Metazoa; Chordata; Mammalia; Chiroptera; Pteropodidae
Source: Rfam
GAAUAUAGGUACUAACUAGAGUACUGAAGUGUAAGUCGAGUCUGAUCUGGGAAGCUAAGCAAGGUCGGGCCUGAUUAGUACUUGGGUGGGAGACCACCUAGGAAUACCAGGUACUGUAGGCA